GCCGAUUUUUUCUUUCAUUUGCGCCGAUUUUUGUUUUCAUUUGCGCCGAUUUUUUUUACAGGUAAAUUACAGGUUAAUUACAGGUGGAUAGACAUAAGAAUAUGUGGUAUGAGUGCAAAUGAGACAACUUUCCAUCCAAGAUUUUUUUUCAAGAUUUUAUUCAGUCAUGUUAUUUUUCAUUUAACAUUAUAGAACUCUUCCGUUAGCCAGUUGUACAAUAUAUUCACAUACUUUAGAAUCAAAACG
This 246-nucleotide long non-coding RNA is filed under the name Mytilus galloprovincialis (Mediterranean mussel). Lineage: Eukaryota; Metazoa; Mollusca; Bivalvia; Mytilida; Mytilidae. The record is from RNAcentral.